AUAUUUGUGGAUGAUAGAAGAAGUAAACAAUUAGGAACAUUUUACAUCGUUCAACAUUCGUUUCCAGUUUUAGAUGUACAAGUUCAUAACCAGAAUGUCUAUGUGAUGACUGAGAAUACGGUAAGAUUGUGUACAAUAUAUGAAAUUGAUCAACUAAUAUAAUAAGUUUUGAAGUAACAUUAAUAAAUCUCUUCAAUUGCACAAUAAUAAAACUUCUAAAUCGCCAAUAAUGACGUCAGAGGGUAAAGCACGUUGCACUUCUCUUUGUAGGCAGUAAAACUGGUUCCUUUUAAUGUUAUUACUUAGUAGUAAUUUUAAUUAUAGCUGUAGUGUUUACAAGCCUGUUUGCUUUUACUUACUAACUGGGAGCGGUUGUAGGACGUUGCACUUUGGUGUUAUACUGCGUUAAAAAUAUUGUAACACACACAUGUAAUUGUAUUUAAGGUCAUAAAUAUCGCUGAUAUUGAGCCAUGUCCCUCAGAUGUACUUUGCAUGGAAUGUAUGACAUCCGAUAAUCCGGCUUGUGGAUGGGACAUUUUAAGUGCUAGGUAUUUAUCAUAUAGAUACCGACAGGAGAAUCAUAUAACAUAGUUUUUUCCAUUUAAUUGGUUGGUACUUUAAUCCAUUGUUUCAUAUAACUUUUACCUGAAUCAUAAUAUUUUUUGGGUUAAACUUUUACGUUAAAUUUUUUCAUGUAUGCACUAAACGAGCGUCAGUAUGAUAGAAACAGUGUAACAAAUAUCUUUUGAUCAAUCUCCGAUUGGAACCCUGGUGGCAAAAUAUAUUUAAACUGGUGUCUGAAUAAUCUACAUAAGAUUCAUUGAUUUCAUGAAAUUUGGCAAAAAAUCAGAUGGCAAUAGUAGUCUGUCGAUAUUCUUAAUGUAGUGUAUGACAAAAUUAUUGAUUUAAGGAUCGUAAAACGAAGGUACAAAACACCAGAGGUAACUCGAAAUGGCUAACAUUAAAUACAUCGCCAGAUUAUGCAAUUUCUGAUAUAGAUGAAAACUCAUUUGACAGCUACGUAAACUUUUACAGCAUUGCGCAAUUUAUAUUGCUGAGGGCUGCCAGCUUAUGCUCAACUGAAAGUCUAUUACAAAUUGAAUCAUUCUUUUGAGAGCAACAGUGAAAUUAUAUACAUGUACUUUAGAGGUACUUAAAACAGUAAGAAUAUUUACUUGAAAAACAAAAAUAGUAAAACUGUAUUUCAUAAAAAAAAAAAAUAUUCCCAACGUGGAUGCAUGAACAUAAUUUAAACGGGACGAUUGAGAAACAAACCAAUCUGAAUAUAAAAACGACUUUUAGUAAACAACUGAUAUCAUGACGGUUUGAUUUUUCGGGGAUUAUUUUGUUUUUUUGUUUUUUUAGGGGUUUUUUUUUUGCUGGUGUAAGAUGUCAGGUUUUUUACUUUACCUGAACAUGUCGUAAACCAUAUGUUAUGCUAUACAUAAAAAAUAAAAUAUUGUUACAUUUCUAUUUCUCUUUCAACGAUAGUAUAUAAAUAGAACUUAUAUUUAAGUUAAACAUGCAGAUAAAGUAUACAAUGUAUACAAUCAGAUAAUGUGAUAUGAUUGUCAAUGAAACAACAAUCCACCAAGAACAACUUCAAAAAGGUAUAAGCAAUUGCUUGUGACGAUAUUUUUUAAAGCGUGUGUAAUUACAAAAAAAACCGCAUAAAUAGUCAUUAACAGUUACUCAAUUAGAAUCAAUAAGAGCUUUACGUGUACACGAUGUUAUUUAGACAAAGCCAAAAAAUAAACGUUAAAUCACCUUUCACUUAGAAUACAGUUCCAAUUUUAAGAUGAAAAUGCAUAAAGAAUAAAUUCAAUAUGUCAUUAGCAAUGAAAACUAAAGAUCGGACUGAAAUUGGUAGACAUUCUUUCCUUAGAACGAACGAAAGGGGAAGGAAAAUGUUUGCCUUCUCACAGGUUAUUUUUAAGAUACGUGGAAAAAGAGAUCUUAUCAAACAAAAGUUUUCCUAUUUAAUUAAAUGGUCGUUUGGUAAAUCUGAAUGCAAAUAGAUUUGCUGUAACUCAUUUAAAGCUUUCUUCUUUAAUGAGAAGUGUAAAUAUGCUUGAUAUACGUACUAACUGAAGGUGUGAUGAGAUAAUUGAAGCCUUGAUAAUAUAAUUUUAUGUACGUUUCGGCAAAAAAGCUUAUCCACAGGUUGUAGGUAUUGCUAUGGGCACUUAUUGCGCCCCUUUGAUAGAAAACUUGUUUUAUACUGUUAUGGAUCACAGAUUAUGACCUAAAUCAAAAAAGAACCCUCUUAAUUGCAUUUAAGUGAUAAAUUUUACAACACUUGCAGUUUUAUUGAUGAUAGGUUUUUUUUAAAUAAUCAGGAAUUUUCUACAUAUACUACCGACAUUUACCCAAAGGAACUUAUUUGAAAUAAAUCAAAUUUAAACGGUAAUAACUGUCUUUUCUUAGAUUUAGAUAUUUAAGUUUUACACGGGAAACUCCACACUUAAAUUGACGACAAAAGUGGCGAUCUUUCGGAUGGUGAUGUUCCUUUUGCACCAUCUUACGAUGUUUAUAUAUCACAACUCGUUCGCUAUGACCGUGUCUGUUUUGAAUUUUCUUAUUUUAAUGAACGUAAUCUAUGUUUUACUGGUGAUUAUUAAGACAGGAAUUUCAUGACCACAUACAUUAAGAGAUUUACUUAAUUCUUCCAUAGAUAAAUAGAUUUGGUUUUGAAGUUUGGUUGCACCUGUAGAAAUCUUAUUUCUUACGGGAUAGCACAUCCUCAAUUUUACGGAGAUGUUGUUAACCGUGCCCAAAACUUUAAAAACUAUCCUGGCAAACUUAAAUAAAUUAAAUUCUGAAAUGUUACAAAUUUAACACUUUAAUUAGAUCUUUAAAUUUUCUUUUUAUUGUUAUAAAUAUUAAUUCGGCUAUCAGUGAAUUCAAAGCAAUCUAUAUAUAACUGUUAUAUACAUAUGCACUGUCAUUGAUCUACAAUCUGUCGUUACCUGAAACAAUUGGAUUUUAGAUGUUUAUUGAUUGAUAAGUUAGUCUUAUGUGGUUUGAGAGGUUUACAGACCCCUCAAAUGGUAUGUGCAAGACAUUAGGACUGUUUAAUGUGGGAAAAACAAAGAAAACACUCUCAUGAUUUAAUGCCGUUAUUCCGAUCAGAAGUAGUUAGUUACUUAUCCAACCACACAUGCAAACGAAUGUCAUUCAUAGGAAAAGGUUUAACUGCGGAAUUGAAAAUUGUUGACCAUAUUUCAAUACACUAUGCACGUUCCAAUUUUUAAAACAAUUGCAUCAAUCGGUAAAACACAUAUAUAUAACAUGUACAAUACAGCAAAAAAAUUGCCACUCUUUUAUCAAGUUAACCUUGUGAGUGUUUUUUAUCCUUUUUAAAUGUAAAAAUUCAUCAGUCUUACAAUACUUAUACUUAUGUAUUUUGUAUAAUAAAGAAAGUUCUAAAUUAUAGCUGCAGGGUCAACACUGACAACUCUACUUGGUGACUGCCAUCUCUAUGGUAGACAAUGUCUUAAAGUCAAAGCAAAGGAAUUGGUGAUUGGUGAAACAACAGACAAUG
This 3544-nucleotide long non-coding RNA is filed under the name Mytilus galloprovincialis (Mediterranean mussel). The record is from RNAcentral. Lineage: Eukaryota; Metazoa; Mollusca; Bivalvia; Mytilida; Mytilidae.